Molecule: unclassified non-coding RNA, 284 nt
Filed under: Bombus terrestris (buff-tailed bumblebee)
Lineage: Eukaryota; Metazoa; Arthropoda; Insecta; Hymenoptera; Apidae
Description: misc RNA ENSBTSG00005035879.1
Source: RNAcentral
AACAAAAGUUCAGUAAGGAAAAUGUAAUUGUAAAACGUAAUUGUUUUAUUGUAUAUCUAAAGAUAUCAUCAAAAUGCUAAAAUGGUCCUAUCAAAGUUACAAUACAAGAAACAUUCGAUAAUUACACAAAAAUCUGGUGCCAAAUAUUGCAAUAACGAACAUGUAGAAACGAUUGUAUUUUUCGAAAAUGAGACGUGUGAACGUCGAAAAAGUCAGAAACAGAAGGUAGAAAAUAACAAUGCGAGUAACGAAACGAUCGACAAAUAUUAAAUACCCGCGUUAAG